AAUCAACGCUGGCGGCGUGCCUCAGACAUGCAAGUCGAACGAUUAAAGCUCUCUUCGGAGAGUGUAUAGAGUGGCGCACGGGUGAGUAACACGUAAGUAAUCUACCUUUGAGUGGGGAAUAACAGUCGGAAACGACUGCUAAUACCGCAUAAUGCAGCGGCAUCGCAAGAUGACAGUUGUAAAGAGCAAUCCGCUUAAAGAGGAGCUUGCGGCAGAUUAGCUUGUUGGUAAGGUAACGGCUUACCAAGGCUACGAUCUGUAUCCGGUCUAAGAGGACGGUCGGACACACUGACACUGAAUAACGGGUCAGACUCCUACGGGAGGCAGCAGUCGGGUAAUUUUGGGCAAUGGGCGAAAGCCUGACCCAGCAACGCCGCGUGAAGG
Molecule: ribosomal RNA, 384 nt
Filed under: uncultured bacterium
Lineage: Bacteria
Description: bacterial SSU rRNA
Rfam family: Bacterial small subunit ribosomal RNA
Source: RNAcentral